Molecule: long non-coding RNA, 207 nt
Organism: Leptinotarsa decemlineata (Colorado potato beetle)
Lineage: Eukaryota; Metazoa; Arthropoda; Insecta; Coleoptera; Chrysomelidae
Source: RefSeq, a predicted model, not a curated record
UCAAAGAUAAGAUUUGAUAAGAGUACAGCGUCAUAUACAGUUCAGUUCUUUCAGAAUGAAGUUCGCUUGUUCAAGUUGGAUACUUUUUCUAUUCAUAAUUGGGAAUUCGCAGCUUCCCAUUGAAGCCAAGAAAGUAGAAUCCUCCAAAAACAAUCUGGAGAUCACAAAUGGUGACGUGGCAGAACCUAAUUCAUUUCCUUACGUGGU